UAGGGAAUUUUCGUCAAUGGGCGCAAGCCUGAACGAGCGAUGCCGCGUGAGUGAAGAAGGCCUCGGUCGUAAAGCUCUGUUGCGGGGGAAAAAAGGCAGCAUCAGGAAAUGGGUGCUGACUGAUGGUGCCCCGCCAGAAAGUCACGGCUAACUACGUGCC
Molecule: ribosomal RNA, 160 nt
Filed under: uncultured bacterium
Lineage: Bacteria
Description: partial 16S ribosomal RNA
Rfam family: Bacterial small subunit ribosomal RNA
Source: RNAcentral